This is a long non-coding RNA of Polypterus senegalus (gray bichir), 535 nucleotides long. RefSeq lists it as uncharacterized. The record is from RefSeq and is a predicted model, not a curated record. The transcript is spliced from 3 exons. Lineage: Eukaryota; Metazoa; Chordata; Cladistia; Polypteriformes; Polypteridae.
CUCGUUUACACUUUCACAUUUACUUGUGUUCUUUUCUGCAGCUGCAAAAAGCAUAUCAUCCUUCAACCAGCAGAAAAACCAACCGUGUUUAUGCCUCUCAUUCACAUCACUGCAGACGAGAAACUUCCACUACACGGGAAGCCGCUCGCCUGCCCACAUGCUGGUUCCUACCAGCCUCCCUUCUCAGAAGAGCUUGAGCAUAUGCAUUGUCUAGGGGUGUCAUCGACACAAUGUCAGCCUACCCAGCAUCAGGGGCAGCUCUGGAAGUCAUUAAGGGUGGAGCCACCAGGCAAAAGGAGAUCUUUUACCCCUGGUACUGGCAGCUGGUGUGUGCCAUACGGGACUGGUUUCCCGGGUAUCGGGACUCAGUUAUACAGAGUUCAUACAAGUACAACCCUUAAAAAAAGUGGUGAUAGGAAAAAAAUAUCUUGACAUCUGCUUGUCUAUAAUAAAAUUUUCCAGAAAACUGUUUCAUAUAUCUUAUAUAUAAACAUCUACACAUGGAAGUGUGUGUGUGUGUGUGUGUGUGUGUCUG